UGGGGAAUUUUGGACAAUGGGCGAAAGCCUGAUCCAGCAAUGCCGCGUGUGUGAAGGAAGGCCUUCGGGUUGUAAAGCACUUUUGUCCGGAAAGAAAUCCUUGGCUCUAAUACAGUCGGGGGAUGACGGUACCGGAAGAAUAAGCACCGGCUAACUACGUGCCAGCAGCCGCGGUAAUACGUAGGGUGCAAGCGUUAAUCGGAAUUACUGGGCGUAAAGCGUGCGCAGGCGGUUUGCUAAGACCGAUGUGAAAUCCCCGGGCUCAACCUGGGAACUGCAUUGGUGACUGGCAGGCUAGAGUAUGGCAGAGGGGGGUAGAAUUCCACGUGUAGCAGUGAAAUGCGUAGAGAUGUGGAGGAAUACCGAUGGCGAAGGCAGCCCCCUGGGCCAAUACUGACGCUCAUGCACGAAAGCGUGGGGAGCAAACAGGAUUAGAUACCCUGGUAGUCCACGCCCUAAACGAUGUCAACUAGUUGUUGGGGAUUCAUUUCCUUAGUAACGUAGCUAACGCGUGAAGUUGACCGCCUGGGGAGUACGGUCG
RNAcentral lists this ribosomal RNA (541 nucleotides) under uncultured bacterium. Its description in RNAcentral is "partial 16S ribosomal RNA". It matches the Rfam family "Bacterial small subunit ribosomal RNA", at positions 355 to 888 of the family's 1533-position model. The record is from RNAcentral.